GUGAAGCAGCCGUGUAAGCGAGUUGUGGACGGUUCACGAGUGAGAAUGCAGGCAUGAGUAGCGAUACAAGAGUGGGAAACUCUUGCGCCGAUUGACUAAGGGUUCCUGGGUCAAGCUGAUCUGCCCAGGGUAAGUCGGGACCUAAGGCGAGGCCGACAGGCGUAGUCGAUGGAUAACCGGUUGAUAUUCCGGUACCCGUGAUGCAGCGACCAACACUGAAUCUUCUGAUGCUAAGGCCGUGAAGCCGCCUUUGAUCCCUUCGGGGUGAUGGGGAGUGGUGGAGCCGCUGAACCAAGGUGGUAGUAGGUGAGUGAUGGGGUGACGCAGGAAGGUAGUCCAUCCCGGGCGGUGGUUGUCCCGGGGUAAGGGUGUAGGACGUCAUGUAGGUAAAUCCGCAUGGCAUAUAAGUCUGAGACCUGAUGCCGAGCCGUUUGUGGUGAAGUGGAUGAUCCUAUGCUGUCGAGAAAAGCCUCUAGCGAUGUUGUGUUGCGGCCCGUACCCUAAACCGACUCAGGUGGUCAGGUAGAGAAUACCGAGGCGUUCGGGUGAACUAUGGUUAAGGAACUCGGCAAAAUGCCCCCGUAACUUCGGGAGAAGGGGGGCCACACCUGGUGAACACUCUUGCAGUGGGAGCUGGGGGUGGCCGCAGAGACCAGCGAGAAGCGACUGUUUACUAAAAACACAGGUCCGUGCGAAGCCGUAAGGCGAUGUAUACGGACUGACGCCUGCCCGGUGCUGGAACGUUAAGGGGACCGGUUAGCUGCAUUUCGGUGUGGCGAAGCUGAGAACUUAAGCGCCAGUAAACGGCGGUGGUAACUAUAACCAUCCUAAGGUAGCGAAAUUCCUUGUCGGGUAAGUUCCGACCUGCACGAAUGGCGUAACGACUUCUUGACUGUCUCAACCAUAGGCCCGGUGAAAUUGCAGUACGAGUAAAGAUGCUCGUUUCGCGCAGCAGGACGGAAAGACCCCGGGACCUUUACUAUAGCUUGAUAUUGGUGUUCGGUUCGGCUUGUGUAGGAUAGGUGGGAGACUGUGAAGCAUGCACGCCAGUGUGUGUGGAGUCGUUGUUGAAAUACCACUCUGGUCGUGCUGGAUGUCUAACCUGGGUCCGUGAUCCGGAUCAGGGACAGUGUCUGGUGGGUAGUUUAACUGGGGCGGUUGCCUCCUAAAGAGUAACGGAGGCGCCCAAAGGUUCCCUCAGCCUGGUUGGUAAUCAGGUGUUGAGUGUAAGUGCACAAGGGAGCUUGACUGUGAGACUGACGGGUCGAGCAGGGACGAAAGUCGGGACUAGUGAUCCGGCGGUGGCUUGUGGAAGCGCCGUCGCUCAACGGAUAAAAGGUACCCCGGGGAUAACAGGCUGAUCUUCCCCAAGAGUCCAUAUCGACGGGAUGGUUUGGCACCUCGAUGUCGGCUCGUCGCAUCCUGGGGCUGGAGUCGGUCCCAAGGGUUGGGCUGUUCGCCCAUUAAAGCGGCACGCGAGCUGGGUUUAGAACGUCGUGAGACAGUUCGGUCCCUAUCCGCUGCGCGCGUUGGAGUUUUGAGAAGGGCUGUCCCUAGUACGAGAGGACCGGGACGGACGGACCUCUGGUGUGCCAGUUGUUCUGCCAAGGGCAUGGCUGGUUGGCUACGUUCGGGAGGGAUAACCGCUGAAAGCAUCUAAGCGGGAAGCCUGCUUCGAGAUGAGGACUCCCACCCACUUUGUUGGGGUAAGGCUCCCAGUAGACGACUGGGUUGAUAGGCCGGAGAUGGAAGACCUGUGAGGGUUGGAGUUGACCGGUACUAAUAGGCCGAGGGCUUGACCAUAU
This 1805-nucleotide ribosomal RNA is filed under the name Streptomyces alkaliterrae. RNAcentral describes it as "partial 23S ribosomal RNA". It matches the Rfam family "Bacterial large subunit ribosomal RNA", at positions 1250 to 2925 of the family's 2925-position model. The record is from RNAcentral. Lineage: Bacteria; Bacillati; Actinomycetota; Actinomycetes; Kitasatosporales; Streptomycetaceae.